This 1258-nucleotide ribosomal RNA is filed under the name Eupontonia nudirostris. RNAcentral describes it as "SSU rRNA". It matches the Rfam family "Eukaryotic small subunit ribosomal RNA", at positions 607 to 1809 of the family's 1831-position model. The record is from RNAcentral. Lineage: Eukaryota; Metazoa; Arthropoda; Malacostraca; Decapoda; Palaemonidae.
AAGUUGUUGCGGUUAAAAGCUCGUAGUUCGAGCUCAGUUCCGGACUGGCCGGGGAGGUCACCGCCCGGUGCUUCCCCGUCAGGCUCCGAACAGCCUUCGUGAGCGGAGGCCAAGCCGGUUCUGCCGGGGUGCUCUUUACCGAGUGUCCCGCGCGGCCGGCCAGUUCACCUUGAAUAAAUGAGAGUGCUCAAAGCAGGCUACUCUCGAAUACAAUGCCCGAAUGUUACCUGCAUGGAAUGAUGGAAGAUGAUCUCGGUUCCAUUUUAUUGGUGGUGGGAGCCCGAGGUAAUGAUAAACAGGGACUGUCGGGGGCAUCCGUACUACGACGCGAGAGGUGAAAUUCAGUGACCGUCGUAGGACGAACAACAGCGAAAGCAUUUGCCAAGAAUGUCUUCGUUGAUCAAGAACGAAAGUUAGAGGAUCGAAGGCGAUCAGAUACCGCCCUAGUUCUAACCCUAAACGAUGCUGACUAGCAAUUCGCCGUCGUUAUUCCCAUGACGUGGCGAGACGCCCCCGGGAAACCUCAAGUCUUUGAGUUCCGGGGGUAGUAUGGUUGCAAAACUGAAACUUAAAGAAAUUGACGGAAGGGCACCACCAGGAGUGGAGCCUGCGGCUUAAUUUGACUCAACACGGGAAACCUCACCAGGCCCGGACACCAGAAGGAUUGACAGAUUAAGAGCUCUUUCUCGAUUUGGUGGGUGGUGGUGCAUGGCCGUUCUUAGUUGGUGGAGUGAUUUGUCUGGUUAAUUCCGGUAACGAACGAGACUCUGGCCUACUAAAUAGUCGACGGGCGUUUUGGUGCAUGGGCCCCGUUCGACACAGUCUUCUUAGAGGGAUGAGCAGCGAGUAUAGCUGCAGGAGAUUGAGCAAUAACAGGUCUGUGAUGCCCUUAGAUGUCCUGGGCCGCACGCGCGCUACACUGAAUGGGUUAGCGGGUUGUCCUUCUCCGAGAGGAGCGGGAAAUCGCUUGAAAACCAUUCGUGAUAGGGAUUGGGGCUUGCAAUUGUUUCCCAUGAACGAGGAAUUCCCAGUAAGCGCAAGUCAUCAGCUUGCGUUGAUUAAGUCCCUGCCCUUUGUACACACCGCCCGUCGCUACUACCGAUUGAAUGAUUUAGUGAGGCCUUCGGACUGGCGGUCUUGGACUGGGGCGCCGGCGUUCUCCAGCAAUGGGGUGCCGGCGACCCGCCUAGACGGGCCGGAAAGAUGUCCAAACUUGAUCAUUUAGAGGAAGUAAAAGUCGUAACAAGGUUUCCGUAGG